Molecule: ribosomal RNA, 421 nt
Filed under: uncultured bacterium
Lineage: Bacteria
Description: bacterial SSU rRNA
Rfam family: Bacterial small subunit ribosomal RNA
Source: RNAcentral
UAAGGAAUAUUGCUCAAUGGGGGAAACCCUGAAGCAGCAACGCCGUGUGAGGGAUGAAGGGCUUUUGCUUGUAAACCUCUGUAGUGAGGGAAAAAACUUCCACUCUGUGGAAUAUGAUGGUACCUCAAAAGUAAGCCCCGGCUAACUACGUGCCAGCAGCCGCGGUAAUACGUAGGGGGCAAACGUUGUCCGGAUUUACUGGGUGUAAAGGGUGCUCAGGCGGUUUUGUAAGUCAGAAGUGAAAUCCUAGGGCUUAACUCUGGAACUGCUUUUGAUACUGCAAGGCUUGAAUGUGGAAGAGGAGGAUGGAAUUUCUGGUGUAGCAGUGAAAUGCGUAGAUAUCAGAAAGAACACCAGUGGCGAAGGCGGUCCUCUGGUCCACUAUUGACGCUAAAGCACGAAAGCGUGGGGAGCAAACAGG